AAUGCUCAUCUCCACAAGUAAUAUUUACAUAUAUAAUAAUGCUUCAUCAAUACAAACCCAACUUAAUGAAAAUUACUAACUCAGGCAGCUCUACAAAGAGACCUUUUCUUUCCUUUUCAAAGGAAACCAAAUAUAAACCAGAAAUCUUAUGGUCUUUAACCACUAAUUUACAAGAGUCAAGAAUGAGGAGGAAAUGUAUUUACUCAUACAUUUCACAUGGUUAAUUCUUCACUGGCAUAGAAUAUUACGCUAUGACUGGUCUCCUCAUCAGCAGUUGGAAGCUGCAAGGGUCCUGGGUGAUUAUAACAUUUGGCACUAGGCACAAACACGAUCACUUAGUUCUGGAUUCAGAACAGAGCAUAAUUAUUUUGUGCAAGUAGAUCAAGUGCCAAGGAACAAGUUCUAAUGAGUGCAACGUUGCACUUACUAGAAAAUUAUAUUUCUAAUUUAUUACUAAGCGUAAUAUUGCAUUCAUUAGAAAAACAAUAAUAAUAAUAAUAGUCUGCGUGCUAUGCUCGAGAAUAACAAAAUUGAGAAUAUGGGCUCACAUUUAAACCUUCAUCCGAGCCAAUGAUAAGAUGCCACAAGCCUUUUUUCGUUUUCCUAUUUUUCUACAUUGGUGUGAAGUAAAACUUUGUAAUGAACAACAGACUAAAGUCAUUAUUAGAUAACUCAUUUAGAGAUUACCUCUCAACUAGAACCCCUUGUUGAUUUCCUUGAGAUGGCCUUAAAUCAGAAGCUAGGUUCCUUGUUGCGUCAUUGUCUGCAAAUCCCUGCUUACCAUCUUCCCCAAAAUCAUCUUUCAUCCAUCCAGGAAAGUUUCUUGAAAGGAGGUUGAUAUACUGCUCCAUAGCCACCUCAGGGCUCAUGUUCCCAAGUUGUUGCCACGCAUUCCACUUUGAGCGAGCAGAGAACUUCAAUGGCAUGGGUUGGGGCACAUGGCAAGGUCCUUCAAUUGCAACCUGGUAAAGUCCAUAAAACUUCAGCUUCAAAUCAGUGCUAAGACUCGAUAUAUUAUCAACAUUAUCUAUAGAACCAACAUACGCCACAGCAGCACCAAAAAGCCUCUCCAACUCGCUUCCUUCUACUCCUUCCCAAUCAUCAUCCUCCUCCUCAUCAAGCAACCCCUCCUUUGUACCACCAAUCCCACAAUUAACUUCACCCUCGUCCACACCCAAUUCCUCGUUUAUCAAAUCCAUCUCGAUUUCUCUCUUUUGACUUUUAUCAAUCGGGUAAUACUCGCAUUUGCAUGCAGCACCAUCUUCACUACCUUCCUCUGUUAAAUAAUCAAUAAUCUCAAUUUCUUCUUUGGGGAGUUGAUUAUUAGAAGUUUUUGCAUCUUCAAGUGAGUUACACGACCCGACACAUUCGCAGGAAAAUUCCUGUUGAGCAAGUUUAUUCUCUACUGAUUCGCUUAAUUCAUCAACUCCGAGAAUUUCCGAAACAAGCCCAAGUUUCCUUUCCUUCUCCCAAGCGAAAUCAUUAGACUCCGCUAGGAAACUAAGUUCAUGGUCAGGGUCAUGCACAUGGACAAUUCUCCUUUUAAAAUCAUGUCCAUGAUCAUCAGGUGUUGCUCCGGAGAGGAGCUUAGAGAGAAAGAAAGAGCAGAGAAAAGAAAAAGCAGCAGUUAAAAUGAAAUCAAGCAAAAACUCCAUGGCCAAGAGCAUAGUUUGUAUAUCAGAAGAAGACGAAGACGAAGACGACGACGAGGAGGAAUUUGCAGAGGAAGCAAGGGAUAUUCUAGUGGAGAAAUUUUCCUGUUGCCAAGUAAUGUGUCGG
This 1779-nucleotide unclassified non-coding RNA is filed under the name Hevea brasiliensis (rubber tree). Lineage: Eukaryota; Viridiplantae; Streptophyta; Magnoliopsida; Malpighiales; Euphorbiaceae. The record is from RNAcentral.